This 2275-nucleotide long non-coding RNA is filed under the name Homo sapiens (human). RNAcentral's name for it is "HSALNT0229019". Lineage: Eukaryota; Metazoa; Chordata; Mammalia; Primates; Hominidae. The record is from RNAcentral.
CAGAGUCUCACUCUGUCACCCAGGCGGGAGUGCAGUGCGUCAUCUUGGCUCACUGCAACCUCUGCCUCCUGGGUUCAAACGAUUCUCCUGCCUCAGCCACCUGAGUAGCUGGGAUUACAGGCACACGCCACCACAGCUAAUUUUUGUAUUUUUAGUAGAGAUGAGGUUUCACCAUGUUGGCCAGCCUGGUCUUGAACACCUGACCUCAAGUGAUCCACCGCCUCGGCCUCCCAAAGUACUGUGAUUACAGGUGUGAGCCACCUCGCCCAGCUGGGUUAAAAUUAUUUGCUUAUUCUCCUCCUUCCCUGGCUCCAUGAAGGCAAGAACUGAGCCCUUUCAUGGUUAUGUGCCCUGUGCCUGGUACACAGUAGGUGCUCGUUCAGCAUCUCCUGAAUGAAUGAAUGUCUUGCACAUGGAGUCCUAAUGCUCUUCAGCCUGGAUAGGUUGCUGGCUGAACCUGGACUUUGCCUCUGGGUGGGCUCAGCUCUCUCUUCCCCCUGCCCCAGCCCCACCCAGUGGGGACUUACCUGCCCACAAUCAUGAGCUCCUUCUCAGAUGCCCGAGGCCGGAGGUGAUUCCAGAGGUCCAUGGUGAAGAUGGUGCUGGCACUGUUAAAGAUGGAGGGGACUUGAUUCAGGAGUGAAGGGACAUUACCUGUGGGCAGGAGUUCCAGCACGAGUUUGGGAUACGCGAUGUCCGAACAGCCUGAGGGGUUGCUGCAGAUCUUCUGGCAGAUCUCUGGAUCUGCACAGGCCACUUGAUCUACGAAGGAAACACAGGCCCAGAGCUGUGUUCUCACCUGGGAAGAGGAUGCGGCUGACCAUCCCAGGGAACACCAUUAUGAAGAGGGGCAGCACCUUCAGAGGAAGAAAUAAAAUAGCAUGUAGAGCAAUGGAAAGGAGGAAGUAGUCAAGGAAGCAGGGAAAACGCAAAUGAGAGAAGAGAUGGAGGAAGAAAAAAGCACCGACUUCAGCCACCCUAAGGAAAGAAGCAAAGAGAAGGAAAAACUUGCUCAGGCCACUGUCCUGUACCUGAUCCGUGCACCAGUACCAGAGGGAUGGGAUGGACAUUCCAAAUAGGACCCCCGGCCACGGGAGAUCAGAUGUCAGCGGAUCUCGGAAAAUAUGGAAGGCAUCUUCCCGGGGCAGCCCGCAGCUGCUGUUCUCACUCCGGUUGCUAGCCAGGGCCAAGAAGUACUUCUCCUUCAGUCCUUCCAUCCCACCAACCGCGGCGAAACCUAGAAUUCAGAGGAAGCCUAUUUUCCGGGAACUCAGAUUGGUCCAUGGCAAGUGAUGAGGAGAUGGCUGGAGACUGGUGAAAUUCUAGUAGGACCAGAGCCACCAAAAAUGUUAAUCCCCUUAAGGGUUCUUAACCUCCUCCCCACAUUUUUUUAACUUAAAAAAAUUAAUAUUAGAGUUUUAUUGGACUAUAAUUGACCUAACCAUAAAUUACAAAUAUGUAAAAUGUAAAAUUUGGUGUUUGACAUAAGUAUUCACCCAUGAAACCUCCGUCACAAAGUAAUGAAUGUAUCUAUCCAAGUUUCUUUUUUCUUUCUUUCUUUCUUCCUUCCUUUCUUUCCUUCCUUCCUUCUUUUUUUUUUUUUUUUUUUUUUUUUUUUUUUUGAUAUGAAGUCUUGCUCUGUCACCAAGGCUGGAGUGUAGUAGCAUGAUCUUGGCUCACUGCCACCUCCGCCUCCCAGGUUCAAACGAUUCUCCUGCUUCAGCCUCCUGAGUAGCUGGGAUUACAGGCAUGUGCCACCAUGCCUGGCCAAUUUUUGUACUUUUAGUAGAGAUGGGGUUUCACCACGUUGGCCAGGCUGGUCUCGAACUCCUGACCUCAAGUGAUACUCCUGGCCAUUGUCCCAUGCCAUUGUAUGUUAUUUAAGCCCAUUGAAUUCUCCCAAAAAUAAUUUACUACCUCCCUAAAAUCAUCUACACUUGUCCAUCUCCUUUUUCCUUAAGAAGUGCGGUAUAGAAACAUCUGUAUGACAUUAGGAUAUUGAGAAAUCCCUCUGUAAUUCUCCCCUGUGUGUGCUAAUAAAUUUGUAUGCCUUUUCUUCUAUUAAUCUGCCUCUUGUGGGUUGAUUUUCCAGUGAGAUUUCCAGUCUUCCCUUCGCUCCUACAAUUGCUUCUCAGAAGAAUACUUCUAAAUAAUGCAAAAAUACAUAGGAUUGCAAAGAAAUCAAAUAUAUUGAACCAUCAAAAUAUUAAAAAUGUGACAUAGUAAUUUAUUUAUUUGCUCCAUUAAAUUGUAAGACUGGCCAGGCACAGUGGCU